RNAcentral lists this ribosomal RNA (614 nucleotides) under uncultured bacterium. Its description in RNAcentral is "bacterial SSU rRNA". It matches the Rfam family "Bacterial small subunit ribosomal RNA", at positions 29 to 636 of the family's 1533-position model. The record is from RNAcentral.
AUGAACGCUGGCGGCAUGCCUAAUACAUGCAAGUCGAACGAGAGACCUUCGGGUCUCUAGUGGCGAACGGGUGAGUAACACGUAGGGAACCUGCCCGCGCACCGGGAAUACGCUCUGGAAACGGAGAACAAAUCCCGAUGUACAGGAAGGAGGCAUCUUCUUUCUGUGAAACAUCCUCUAGGGGAUGGGGCGCGGAUGGACCUGCGGUGCAUUAGUUGGUUGGCGGGGUAAAGGCCCACCAAGACGAUGAUGCAUAGCCGGCCUGAGAGGGCGGACGGCCACAUUGGGACUGAGACACGGCCCAGACUCCUGCGGGAGGCAGCAGUAGGGAAUUUUCGUCAAUGGGCGCAAGCCUGAACGAGCGAUGCCGCGUGAGUGAAGAAGGCCUUCGGGUCGUAAAGCUCUGUUGCGGGGGAAAAAAGGCAGCAUCAGGAAAUGGGUGCUGACUGAUGGUGCCCCGCCAGAAAGUCACGGCUAACUACGUGCCAGCAGCCGCGGUAAUACGUAGGUGGCGAGCGUUAUCCGGAAUGAUUGGGCGUAAAGGGUGCGCAGGCGGUCCUGCAAGUCUGGAGUGAAACGCAUGAGCUCAACUCAUGCAUGGCUUUGGAAACUGG